RNAcentral lists this ribosomal RNA (440 nucleotides) under Obelia geniculata (knotted thread hydroid). Its description in RNAcentral is "partial 16S ribosomal RNA". It matches the Rfam family "Bacterial large subunit ribosomal RNA", at positions 1909 to 2501 of the family's 2925-position model. Lineage: Eukaryota; Metazoa; Cnidaria; Hydrozoa; Leptothecata; Obeliidae. The record is from RNAcentral.
AAUUAAAAAUAAAACUAAAAGGACGCGGUAACCUUGACCGUGAUAAUGUAGCAUAAUCACUCGCCAUUUAAUUGAUGGAUAGUAUGAAUGGUUGAACGAAUAUUCCACUGUCUUAAAGAGAAUUACAAGAAAUUGAAAUAAUAGUUAAGAUGCUAUUUAAAACUGUAAGACGAAAAGACCCUAUAGAGCUUAACUAUAGUCUCUUUACUAAAGAAGAAAAAUAAUUUUCUUAUAUAAAGAGAUUGGUAGUUUAGUUGGGGCGACUGUCUUCUAAAAUAAACGAAGAUAAGCAAUGUUAAUAAAAAACUUAUUGUAUAAUAAAUUUAUUUAACAAUUACAAAAGUAGGCUAUAUUGACCCGUUUCUACUAAAAAACAAAGAAAAACGAUCAAUUGAUAAAAGCUACCUUAGGGAUAACAGGAUAAUUUCAUUUUAGAGCUC